Molecule: transfer RNA, 77 nt
Filed under: Aureimonas ureilytica
Lineage: Bacteria; Pseudomonadati; Pseudomonadota; Alphaproteobacteria; Hyphomicrobiales; Aurantimonadaceae
Description: tRNA-Arg
Source: RNAcentral
GACCCCCAUUGAACUCAAUGGUUUAUCCAAGAUUCCUAAUCUGGGGGUCGUUGGUUCGAAUCCAACUGGGAUCACCA